CGCAAUCACUGGCGCCCCUGCCAGAGACCGUGGAGGCAGACCCGUUCCUCCCUGCUGCAUUUUUUUUGGAUGACAAGAUUUAGAAGCUAUAUAUGGUGAUCGAGGGGUGUGCCUUCAACCUCGUCGAAGUCGUCCCUAGACUGCCACUGGCGAGGCCCCCUCACCGGGCGCCCCCUUGCAGAACAUGCGGCAGCAUCCCUAGCUCGUCAAGAGGUCAGCUAAAAUCGAUCUGUGAUUCUCGCCGUCUGCGAUCUCGCUGGCUGCUGGCGGAUUCAUCCAAAGUCCGGAUUUUCAUCUGCACCACCUCUGAGGCCAAGUGCAAAGAGCUCGCCGAGGCUAGGCAUCCCAAGAACGACCUCUACCAGUGCUUCCCCCACCUCAAGAACUAGUAAGCAGCAGCAUAUGCCUGCUCUGGCAAGAGGCAUAUGCUCUAUCAGAACCACAAAGAGAGAGAACUUUUGUGAUCCACUAGUAUUGUUAUCAUCAUUAUGUACGUAAUGACUUGCAACAUCGAUUGUGUGGACUUGUGAUGCCCGUGCUUGCU
Molecule: long non-coding RNA, 544 nt
Organism: Panicum virgatum (switchgrass)
Lineage: Eukaryota; Viridiplantae; Streptophyta; Magnoliopsida; Poales; Poaceae
Exons: 2
Source: RefSeq, a predicted model, not a curated record